Long non-coding RNA from Gadus macrocephalus (Pacific cod), 1621 nucleotides. RefSeq lists it as uncharacterized. The record is from RefSeq and is a predicted model, not a curated record. The transcript is spliced from 4 exons. Lineage: Eukaryota; Metazoa; Chordata; Actinopteri; Gadiformes; Gadidae.
UUUUGAGCCACCAACCGAAAUUAACCUUAGCAUAAGUAUGGGAAUGUGUAGUGACAUGGUAUUAUCUGUGUUACUGCGUGGUGGUGAAAAUGGCUUAAACACCUAGCUAAUAAUACUUUCCCUGUUUCCCAGAAUGGAAAACCAACCUGGCAGAUCACAGGCCCAGGUAGGGUAUUGGCUAAUUUUUUCAAAUUUAUAUUUGUUCAUGGUGUUGUAAUUGUGGGAAAUAAGAGAUCAAAUAUGACUUGUUUUCCAGUAUUAUCCUGUAGUUUUGUACAGCUUGUGCUUUACCGGAAUCAAUUGUUAAUAACAUUUAUGCUAUGCUCUGUAUGAUCACAUUACAAUGUUACGCACCUUAACUCCCAUUCCAGUAUGACCAGUGUUCAGCAACUGAAGCUGCUCAGCAUUUCAUGUCCUUGCUCACCAGAGCAAUUCCUGAAGAUCGUAGACAGGGUCAGAGUAUGAGUGUGGAGAGACCUACUGUUUCGUUUGAGAUGGCCAGGUAGAAAAGCAUAAGGGCCAGUUCAGGUGUUACACAAUGUUGCUAAACAUUUCCAUAUGCCAUUGUGAUUCAAGGCACCUGCAAACAUGUUUCUUCCAAAAAUAACCAUACACAGUUUCUAGAUAUUCAUAUGAUUUGCAAAUUGAAUUAAUUCAUUACAUUGAAUUACCUAAUCAUCGCUGUUAGCACUAGUGCUAUCAUUAUGUCACAAAGUGGUAUUGUAAUGAUAUUGCUUCAGCAAUUCAAAUUCUGUUCUUAAUCUGAUUUCUGUUCUGACUGCAACUUAGUGACAUUAAGAUUGUUCUAAAAAUCAUAUAGAUCCUUCCCUGGAUUUUUCAAACGCAAUGGAAAAAACCGAAGUCAUCCCCUUAGAAGACCAGCAAAUGUUGUGAAGACGUGGAAGCCACUUGAAGUACCAUUUUUCUUGCUUGGUUCAAAAACGGACACAACCCCAUCCAUAUCUGCCGAGCUGGAGCUCAUGCAAGCAGGGCUGGGAAAGAGGGCGUUGUCUAUCACAUCUGACUUAACGCAUGCAGAGUUAUCCAGUUCACUAAGGACAACAUAUCCGAAGAUGAAUGAUCUUCAAGACAGAUGGCUUCUUUUCAAAGCAGCAGGCGGAAAUGGAAGGAGAAAACUGUCUGCAAUCGCAUUAGAGGCAGAGGGAUACACUGGUUCUGUCAUCAAAAGAGCCUCAGGUGGAGGAAAACAGCUGUUAUAUAUAUAGUGCCCCUCCAAGAUGAGUUAGAUUUAACACCACUACCAGCAGAUGCACCGGAAUUUGCUCAUAUGCCAACAGCAACAUGCAAACAAUGCAAGACAGUGAUGCCAUUGCAGAUGUUGGCUCUGCACAUUGACCACUGCAACAACACAUCAAACUCGGAAACUGAGGAGGCAGAUGUGGUGUUCCUGGAAGAAGCAACAUCUCCUAACCCAGUCCGAGGACCUUGUACAGACGCACCAUGGUCCAAUGAGCAACAUUGCUUUCAGCAGGUACAGCAACUGAGUCAAAAAACAAUGAGGAUGGCAUGGAGGGCAACAGCCAAAAAAUGUGUCAUAAACAUGACGGAUACAUUCUACGUUCUUUACAAAGUUGUCAGUCUUUGUUGCACUUCAAAAUUA